Molecule: ribosomal RNA, 93 nt
Filed under: Pseudomonas syringae pv. actinidiae
Lineage: Bacteria; Pseudomonadati; Pseudomonadota; Gammaproteobacteria; Pseudomonadales; Pseudomonadaceae
Source: RNAcentral
CUUGACGACCAUAGAGCAUUGGAACCACCUGAUCCCAUCCCGAACUCAGCAGUGAAACGAUGUAUCGCCGAUGGUAGUGUGGGGUUUCCCCAU